GAUGAACGCUAGCGGCAGGCCUAACACAUGCAAGUCGAGGGGCAGCACAGAAACAGCAAUGUUUUGGUGGCGACCGGCGGACGGGUGCGUAACGCGUAUGCAACCUACCUUUAACAGGGGGAUAACGGAGAGAAAUUUCCACUAAUACCCCAUAACAUCGAUCAAGGCAUCUUGAUUGGUUGAAAACUCCGGUGGUUAAAGAUGGGCAUGCGUUGUAUUAGGUAGUUGGUGAGGUAAUGGCUCACCAAGACUACGAUACAUAGGGGGACUGAGAGGUUAGCCCCCCAAACUGGUACUGAGACACGGACCAGACUCCUACGGGAGGCAGCAGUGAGGAAUAUUGGUCAAUGGGGGCAACCCUGAACCAGCCAUGCCGCGUGCAGGAAGACGGCUCUAUGAGUUGUAAACUGCUUUUAAACAGGGAUAAAGCACAGUAUGUAUACUGUGUUGAAGGUACUGUAAGAAUAAGGAUCGGCUAACUCCGUGCCAGCAGCCGCUGUAA
Molecule: ribosomal RNA, 502 nt
Filed under: uncultured bacterium
Lineage: Bacteria
Description: partial 16S ribosomal RNA
Rfam family: Bacterial small subunit ribosomal RNA
Source: RNAcentral